AGAGUUUGAUCAUGGCUCAGGACGAACGCUGGCGGCGUGCUUAACACAUGCAAGUCGAACGGUAAGGCCCCUUCGGGGGUACACGAGUGGCGAACGGGUGAGUAACACGUGGGUAAUCUGCCCUGCACUUCGGGAUAAGCCUGGGAAACUGGGUCUAAUACCGGAUAUGACUCCUGGCCGCAUGGUCUGGGAGUGGAAAGUUUUUCGGUGCAGGAUGAGUCCGCGGCCUAUCAGCUUGUUGGUGGGGUAAUGGCCUACCAAGGCGACGACGGGUAGCCGGCCUGAGAGGGUGAUCGGCCACACUGGGACUGAGACACGGCCCAGACUCCUACGGGAGGCAGCAGUGGGGAAUAUUGCACAAUGGGCGGAAGCCUGAUGCAGCGACGCCGCGUGGGGGAUGACGGUCUUCGGAUUGUAAACCCCUUUCAGUAGGGACGAAGCGCAAGUGACGGUACCUGCAGAAGAAGCACCGGCUAACUACGUGCCAGCAGCCGCGGUAAUACGUAGGGUGCGAGCGUUGUCCGGAAUUACUGGGCGUAAAGAGCUCGUAGGCGGUUUGUCACGUCGUCUGUGAAAUCCCUCGGCUUAACCGGGGGCGUGCAGGCGAUACGGGCAGACUUGAGUACUACAGGGGAGACUGGAAUUCCUGGUGUAGCGGUGAAAUGCGCAGAUAUCAGGAGGAACACCGGUGGCGAAGGCGGGUCUCUGGGUAGUAACUGACGCUGAGGAGCGAAAGCAUGGGUAGCGAACAGGAUUAGAUACCCUGGUAGUCCAUGCCGUAAACGGUGGGCGCUAGGUGUGGGGUCCUUCCACGGACUCCGUGCCGUAGCUAACGCAUUAAGCGCCCGCCUGGGGAGUACGGCCGCAAGGCUAAAACUCAAAGGAAUUGACGG
RNAcentral lists this ribosomal RNA (893 nucleotides) under uncultured bacterium. RNAcentral describes it as "bacterial SSU rRNA". It matches the Rfam family "Bacterial small subunit ribosomal RNA", at positions 8 to 916 of the family's 1533-position model. The record is from RNAcentral.